Suncus etruscus (white-toothed pygmy shrew) is the source of this 104-nucleotide small nuclear RNA. The record is from RefSeq and is a predicted model, not a curated record. NCBI's taxonomy places the organism in Eukaryota, Metazoa, Chordata, Mammalia, Eulipotyphla, Soricidae.
GUGCUCACUUCGGCAGCUCAUAUAAUAAAAUUUGAAUGAUACAGAGGUUAGCGUGGUCCCUGCGCAAGGAUGAAACUCAUAUUCGUGAAGCGUCCCCUACUUUU